This 459-nucleotide ribosomal RNA is filed under the name uncultured bacterium. RNAcentral's name for it is "partial 16S ribosomal RNA". It matches the Rfam family "Bacterial small subunit ribosomal RNA", at positions 339 to 795 of the family's 1533-position model. The record is from RNAcentral.
CUACGGGCCGCUGCAGUGAGGAAUAUUGGGCAAUGGGGGGAACCCUGACCCAGCAACGCCGCGUGAGUGAUGAAGCAGAUUUUCUGUGUAAAGCUCUGUUAAUUGGGAAGAAAGGAUUGGUUAGCAGCUAAUUUUGACUGUACCAUUUGAGGAAGCUCCGGCUAACUCCGUGCCAGCAGCCGCGGUAAUACGGGGGGAGCGAGCGUUGUCCGGAAUUAUUGGGCGUAAAGGGCAUGUAGGCGGGCUAUUAAGUCAGUUGUUAAAACUAACAGCUUAACUGUUAUGUGCAAUUGAUACUGGUAGUCUUGAGUAUGAGAGGGGACAGUGGAAUAUCAAGUGUAGCGGUGGAAUGCGUAGAUAUUUGAUAGAACACCUGAGGCGAAGGCGACUGUCUGGCUUUUAACUGACGCUGAGAUGCGAAAGCAUGGGUAGCAAACAGGAUUAGAUACCCUAGUAGUC